UUCUUAGUUUUCUGCCCCUUUUUUGGUUUGAGUGGUAAUGUGCAGUGAAUCUAUAUUCUUUAUUGUCAUCUUUUAUUUAUUUGGUGGCUCGACCAAGCUACAGUGACAAAAUGGUUUUACUUUUGUCGAGAGUUCAAGAUGUUGAAGAUAUUUUGGCAUGUUUUAAAUUCCAUGCCGACUGGAGAUUAUUUUGCAUUUCCUUGUAGCUUGUGGAGGCUCUUUAGAUUGGCUAUUACUUUUUAUGUGAAGGGCAUUUAUGGAGUUUUGUUGCAUGUAGGCCACAAAAUAGGAGAUAUCUUCCAAAAACAGAUACAAAAUCAAGUUAUUGAUUUGAAAACUUCGGUUCAGAAGAGCUCUUCCUGGAUGAACUCACGAAGGAGGCCUUAUAUCAAGAGAAAGAGCGUACCGAGUGCACAAGGCUCCAGCUACUGCGGGUUCUGGGGGGGUCAUAAUGUAUGGACCCUUAACUCCUACGUCGCAGAGGGCUGUUUCUUUACUCAAAUCCACAACUACUAGGCCCGCCAUCUAAGGAGGGCUUAUAUCAGGAGUUGGAAUCAGAAUUUCAUGCCCAUCCAGUAGAUCUUCAAUGUAGGCAAGGUAUUGGAAUUUACAUAUUUGAUCCAAUACUUUGCUUCUUAGACACACUAUAGAUCAACACUUUUUGUACACAAUGACCAGUUGGGUUUAACCUUGUUGAUCAGUAUGUUUAAGCUGUGUGUGAAUUAGCUAUGCCAUGAGUUAUUCUACUCCCUUUAUUGCCCAUUUGAAUCAAAAUUAGCGUAACAAUACUGAAAUGGAUGUGAAGGAAUUCAGGAACAAAAUAGAGAAGUAAUAGAAGCUGCGGAAACAUCUAUUAUGGUGGUAUAACUUCAAGACAUAGUUUCCUCAUCUCCCCACCCCUCCUUCCCUUUUUUUUGGUCUUAUGGGAUUUCUAUAGUGUCUUUCUCAUAGGUCUCUUUGCUGCAUUAGGCCUUAGGCUUUAUCUUUUGUGUUUAGUCUAUGUUGAAAAUAAGAAGAGUAUAUUGAUUGGGUUUAGAGAUUGCAAGAAUGAUCCCCAUAUGGUCAUUAUUGACCUAGAAAAAUCCUUUGACAGUCCCUAGAAAGUUAAUCUGGCAAGUACUGGAGAAAAGAAGUGUUUUAAGUAAGUACGUGGACACGAUUAAAGAUAUGUAUGAUGAUUUAGUGACUAAUGUAAGAACUGUAGGGGUUAAGGUAGUGAAUUUCCAAUUGCAAUUAGGUUACAUGAAGUAUCAGCUUUAAGCCUUUAUUUGUUUGCGCUUAUCAUGGAUGAUUUAACUAGAGACAUUCCAGAUGAGGUUCCUUGGUGUAUGCUUUUUGGUGAUGAUAUUGUUUCGGGGGAUGAGACAAAAUAAGGAUUGACGCCAAGUUGGAGUUAUGGAGAUCAACCAUGGAUCAAAAUGUUUUAAGAUAAAUAGAACAAAGAUGGAGUAUAUGGUGUGUAAUUAUGACAGAUAAUGAGGGGAAAGUUGAUAAGAGGGAGAUUCCGCAAAGUGAUUAUUCUCGGUAUCUAGGCUCAAUCAUAAAUAAAGGAGGUGAUAUAGGAUGAUGUUUCAUAGAAAAUUAAAAUAGAAUGGAUGAAGUGGAGAGGUGUGUUCGGAGUAUUGUGUGACCUGUUAUGAUGUAUGGUGCGGAAUGUUGGGCAGUUAAGAAGCAUCAUAUAGAUAAACUUAGUGUAGUGGAUAUGAGGAUGUUGAAAGGGAUGUGUGGAACAAUUAGGAAGGAUAAAGUAAAGAAUGAUCAUAUUAGAGCUGAUUUGGGAGUAGCUUCGAUACAUGAUAAGCUAUGAGAAAGUCGUCUGAGGUGGCAUGGGCAUGUUCAAUGGAGGCCUUUGGACGCUGCUAUAAGGAGGGGUGAUUUGAUUUAGAUUGAAGAAACUAAAAGAGCCAGGGGCAGUCCUAAAAUGACUCUAGGGGAAGUGGCCCUCACCCUUUUACCUGGAAAAUGCUUAGAUAUGCUGGGGUUCAUGGCCUUCUCCCUCUUACCUUCCUUCUUUUUUCUUUUGGUGUGGGUGGGUUAGGUAUGGCAAUGGGGCAGGUUAACAGGGGCCCCAACCCCUGCUGCCCCAAAGUGUUGGUCCUGGUGCAAACAAAAUUGGGUCUGGAUAAAAUCUGGGUCUUUAAAAAACCCUGGGGCUCCACCCUGCAUUGCUUUGGGCCUGUGCAGUUGCCUUGUAAACUUUGUAACUCCCAGGCCUGAGUUGAGCAAAUAUUUUAAGUGGGUCAGUUAUGCUUUUGGAGAAACUUGGUUAGUGGUGGGGUUGGGGUUUGAUCCUUGCAGCCUCUUUCUCUCUUAGCCGUUGCAUUGACAUUCAAUCUUGACCAAUGGUUGAUUAUAUUUGCUAUAAGAAUAGAUAGGUAAAACAUGAAGAGGGGUAUAUUUCAUUUUGGGACCCUACUCUACUUUCAACUACCAAGUGGUGUAAUGGGUAUUAUGAGAGGUUUUGCAUCCUUUAGGGUCACAUAAUUACUAUUUAAUAUGUAUGUUGGUCCAGUGUGCACUUCUGGGUUGAGCAUUUUCUGUAGUGUUGUCUAGUUAGGUCUGUUGAGUCCAAUAGUCAGACUGACCUGCUUGGCGGCCAAUCUUGGUUCAAGUUCACCUAGCCUUUUCUGGGUUUUAAACCUUCAUUUGGGCAGAGUCUCUGAUAGGGCUGAUUCAUAUAUAGUUUGGCUUACCUUUUUGUUUUUUUCUUCUUAAGUGUAUCAUGCUCUUUCCUUUUGGGACCAUCUUGUUUUUUAUUCUAAAUUAGUGUUAUAAAUCCAAUUGCAUUUUGACUUUGAAAC
Molecule: long non-coding RNA, 2801 nt
Organism: Macadamia integrifolia
Lineage: Eukaryota; Viridiplantae; Streptophyta; Magnoliopsida; Proteales; Proteaceae
Exons: 4
Source: RefSeq, a predicted model, not a curated record